AUUGAACGCUGGCGGCAGGCCUAACACAUGCAAGUCGAGCGGAGCGGCGGACGGGUGAGUAAUGCCUAGGAAUCUGCCUGGUAGUGGGGGAUAACGUCCGGAAACGGGCGCUAAUACCGCAUACUAUCAGAUGAGCCUAGGUCGGAUUAGCUAGUUGGUGGGGUAAAGGCCUACCAAGGCGACGAUCCGUAACUGGUCUGAGAGGAUGAUCAGUAACACUGGGACUGGGACACUGUCCAGACGCCUACGGGAGGCAGCAGUGGGGAAGAGUGGGCAAUGGGCGAAAGGCUGAACCAGCCAUGCCGCGUGUGUGAAGAAGGUCUUCGGAUUGUAAAGCACUUUAAGUUGGGAGGCGUUACCAACAGAAUAAGCACCGGCUAACUAUGUGCCAGCAGCCGCGGUAAUAC
Molecule: ribosomal RNA, 407 nt
Filed under: uncultured bacterium
Lineage: Bacteria
Description: partial 16S ribosomal RNA
Rfam family: Bacterial small subunit ribosomal RNA
Source: RNAcentral